Molecule: ribosomal RNA, 465 nt
Filed under: Vreelandella stevensii
Lineage: Bacteria; Pseudomonadati; Pseudomonadota; Gammaproteobacteria; Oceanospirillales; Halomonadaceae
Description: partial 16S ribosomal RNA
Rfam family: Bacterial small subunit ribosomal RNA
Source: RNAcentral
CCUACGGGGGGCAGCAGUGGGGAAUAUUGGACAAUGGGCGAAAGCCUGAUCCAGCCAUGCCGCGUGUGUGAAGAAGGCCUUCGGGUUGUAAAGCACUUUCAGUGGGGAAGAAAGCCUUGGGGCUAAUACCCUCGAGGAAGGACAUCACCCACAGAAGAAGCACCGGCUAACUCCGUGCCAGCAGCCGCGGUAAUACGGAGGGUGCGAGCGUUAAUCGGAAUUACUGGGCGUAAAGCGCGCGUAGGCGGUCUGAUAAGCCGGUUGUGAAAGCCCCGGGCUCAACCUGGGAACGGCAUCCGGUACUGUCAGGCUAGAGUGCAGGAGAGGAAGGUAGAAUUCCCGGUGUAGCGGUGAAAUGCGUAGAGAUCGGGAGGAAUACCAGUGGCGAAGGCGGCCUUCUGGACUGACACUGACGCUGAGGUGCGAAAGCGUGGGUAGCAAACAGGAUUAGAUACCCGAGUAGUC